This 520-nucleotide ribosomal RNA is filed under the name uncultured bacterium. RNAcentral's name for it is "bacterial SSU rRNA". It matches the Rfam family "Bacterial small subunit ribosomal RNA", at positions 8 to 526 of the family's 1533-position model. The record is from RNAcentral.
AGAGUUUGAUCCUGGCUCAGGAUGAACGCUAGCGGCAGGCCUAACACAUGCAAGUCGAGGGGUAACGGGGUGCUUGCACCGCCGACGACCGGCGCACGGGUGAGCAACGCGUAUAGAACCUACCCGUUACAGGGGGAUAGCCCAGAGAAAUUUGGAUCAAUACCCCGUGGGGCCCUUGACCGGCAUCGGUCUUGGGCUAAAGAACUUCGGUAACGGAUGGCUGUGCGUCCCAUUAGCUAGUUGGGGGGGUAACGGCCCACCAAGGCGUCGAUGGGUAGGGGCCCUGAGAGGGGGAUCCCCCACACUGGUGCUGAGACACGGACCAGACUCCUACGGGAGGCAGCAGUGAGGAAUAUUGGACAAUGGGCGGAUGCCUGAUCCAGCCAUGCCGCGUGCGGGAAGAAGGUCCUAUGGAUCGUAAACCGCUUUUGUACGGGAAGAACCGGGGGCACGCGUGCCCCCCUGACGGUACCGUAAGAAUAAGGAUCGGCUAACUCCGUGCCAGCCGCCGCGGUAAUAC